Small nucleolar RNA from Caenorhabditis elegans, 127 nucleotides. Lineage: Eukaryota; Metazoa; Nematoda; Chromadorea; Rhabditida; Rhabditidae. The record is from Ensembl.
UGUCGAAGAGUAGUCAUUUGUAUACGUGAUACACUUAUACAGAGUUACACUUUUCGUAUAUAAGUGCUUCUUCUCGUUGGAGUUGUUUAUUUAAUGAGCAAUUACCUCUAAACUGAAAGCAACAAUU